GAAAUGCGAUAAGUAAUGUGAAUUGCAGAAUUCCGUGAAUCAUCGAAUCUUUGAACGCACAUUGCGCCCGCCAGAGUACUCUGGCGGGCAUGCCUGUUCGAGCGUCAUUUCGACCAUUGAGCCCACGGGCUCGCGUUGGGGAUCUGCGGCCGCGCGCAGGCCCCGAAAACCAGUGGCGGGCUCGCCGGUCACCCCGAGCGUAGUAGCGUCCGUUUCUCGCUCCGGGCGUGCCGCGGGUCCCGGCCGUUAAAAGGGGACGUCAAGCGUCACGUAUCCAGGUUGACCUCGGAUCAGGUAGGAGUACCCGCUGAACUUAA
Molecule: unclassified non-coding RNA, 317 nt
Filed under: uncultured Chaetomium
Lineage: Eukaryota; Fungi; Ascomycota; Sordariomycetes; Sordariales; Chaetomiaceae
Description: sequence contains ITS1
Rfam family: 5.8S ribosomal RNA (bases 1-107)
Source: RNAcentral